This 497-nucleotide ribosomal RNA is filed under the name uncultured bacterium. RNAcentral's name for it is "partial 16S ribosomal RNA". It matches the Rfam family "Bacterial small subunit ribosomal RNA", at positions 28 to 507 of the family's 1533-position model. The record is from RNAcentral.
GAUGAACGCUGGCGGCGUGCCUAAUACAUGCAAGUCGAGCGAACGGACGAGAAGCUUGCUUCUCUGAUGUUAGCGGCGGACGGGUGAGUAACACGUGGAUAACCUACCUAUAAGACUGGGAUAACUUCGGGAAACCGUAGCUAAUACCGGAUAAUAUUUUGAACCGCAUGGUUCAAAAGUGAAAGACGGUUUUGCUGUCACUUAUAGAUGGAUCCGCGCUGCAUUAGCUAGUUGGUAAGGUAACGGCUUACCAAGGCAACGAUGCAUAGCCGACCUGAGAGGGUGAUCGGCCACACUGGAACUGAGAUACGGUCCAGACUCCUACGGGAGGCAGCAGUAGGGAAUCUUCCGCAAUGGGCGAAAGCCUGACGGAGCAACGCCGCGUGAGUGAUGAAGGUCUUCGGAUCGUAAAACUCUGUUAUUAGGGAAGAACAUAUGUGUAAGUAACUGUGCACAUCUUGACGGUACCUAAUCAGAAAGCCACGGCUAACUACGUG